This 465-nucleotide ribosomal RNA is filed under the name uncultured bacterium. Its description in RNAcentral is "bacterial SSU rRNA". It matches the Rfam family "Bacterial small subunit ribosomal RNA", at positions 926 to 1391 of the family's 1533-position model. The record is from RNAcentral.
CAAGUGGUGGAGCAUGUGGUUUAAUUCGAUGAUACGCGAGGAACCUUACCUAGGCUAGAAUGCGCGUGACCGCCCCGGAGACGGGGCUUUCCUUCGGGACACAAAGCAAGGUGCUGCAUGGCCGUCGUCAGCUCGUGCCGUGAGGUGUUGGGUUAAGUCCCGCAACGAGCGCAACCCCUAUGUUUAGUUGCCAGCGGGUCGUGCCGGGGACUCUAAAUAGACUGCCUGCGCAAGCAGCGAGGAAGGCGGGGACGACGUCAGGUCAUCAUGGCCCUUACGCCUAGGGCUACACACGUGCUACAAUGGGCGGUACAGCGGGUUGCCAACCAGCGAUGGUGCGCCAAUCCCGAAAAGCCGUUCUCAGUUCGGAUCGGAGUCUGCAACUCGACUCCGUGAAGCUGGAAUCACUAGUAAUCGCGUAUCAGCAAUGACGCGGUGAAUACGUUCCCGGGCCUUGUACACACC